UAUCGGAACGUGCCCAGUCUGGGGGAUAACGUAGCGAAAGCUACGCUAAUACCGCAUACGUCCUACGGGNGAAANCGGGGGAUCUUCGGACCUCGCGCCAUUAGAUGAGCCUAGGUCGGAUUAGCUAGUUGGUGAGGUAAUGGCUCACCAAGGCGACGAUCCGUAACUGGUCUGAGAGGAUCGAUCAGUCACACUGGAACUGAGACACGGUCCAGACUCCUACGGGAGGCAGCAGUGGGGAAUAUUGGACAAUGGGCGAAAGCCUGAUCCAGCCAUGCCGCGUGUGUGAAGAAGGUCUUCGGAUUGUAAAGCACUUUAAGUUGGGAGGAAGGGUAGUAACCUAAUACGUUGCUACUUUGACGUUACCGACAGAAUAAGCACCGGCUAACUUCGUG
Molecule: ribosomal RNA, 395 nt
Filed under: uncultured bacterium
Lineage: Bacteria
Description: bacterial SSU rRNA
Rfam family: Bacterial small subunit ribosomal RNA
Source: RNAcentral